RNAcentral lists this ribosomal RNA (303 nucleotides) under uncultured bacterium. RNAcentral's name for it is "partial 16S ribosomal RNA". It matches the Rfam family "Bacterial small subunit ribosomal RNA", at positions 507 to 809 of the family's 1533-position model. The record is from RNAcentral.
AGCAGUCGCCGCGGUAAUACGUAGGUGGCAAGCGUUGUCCGGAAUUAUUGGGCGCAAAGCGCGCGCAGGCGGAUCAGUCAGUCUGUCUUAAAAGUUCGGGGCUUAACCCCGUGAGGGGAUGGAAACUGCUGAUCUAGAGUAUCGGAGAGGAAAGUGGAAUUCCUAGUGUAGCGGUGAAAUGCGUAGAUAUUAGGAAGAACACCAGUGGCGAAGGCGACUUUCUGGACGAAAACUGACGCUGAGGCGCGAAAGCCAGGGGAGCGAACGGGAUUAGAUACCCGAGUAGUCCCUGUCUCUUAUACA